AGCAGCCGCGGUAAUUCCAGCUCCAAUAGCGUAUAUUAAAGUUGCUGCAGUUAAAAAGCUCGUAGUUGAAUUUCGGGACCAUCAUGUCGGUCGUGCCUCGGUACGUACUGGCAUUGUUGGUUUCUACCUUCUGACGAACCAUGAUGUCAUUAAUUUGGUGUCUUGGGGAAUCAGGACUGUUACUUUGAAAAAAUUAGAGUGUUUAAAGCAGGCUCGCGCUUGAAUACAUUAGCAUGGAAUAAUGAAAUAGGACGUUUGAUUCUAUUUUGUUGGUUUCUAGGAUCGACGUAAUGAUUAAUAGGGAUAGUUGGGGGCAUUAGUAUUCAAUUGUCAGAGGUGAAAUUCUUGGAUUUAUUGAAGACUAACUACUGCGGAAGCAUUUGCCAAGGAUGUUUUCAUUAAUCAAGAACGAAAGUUAGGGGAUCGAAGACGAUCAGAUACCGUCGUAGUCUUAACCAUAAACUAUGCCGACUAGGGAUCGGAUGAUGUUAAUUUUUAAUGACUCAUUC
This 509-nucleotide ribosomal RNA is filed under the name uncultured Glomus. RNAcentral describes it as "SSU rRNA". It matches the Rfam family "Eukaryotic small subunit ribosomal RNA", at positions 569 to 1081 of the family's 1831-position model. The record is from RNAcentral. Lineage: Eukaryota; Fungi; Glomeromycota; Glomeromycetes; Glomerales; Glomeraceae.